This 72-nucleotide transfer RNA is filed under the name Camelus bactrianus (Bactrian camel). It matches the Rfam family "tRNA". Rfam says of the family: Transfer RNA (tRNA) molecules are approximately 80 nucleotides in length. Their secondary structure includes four short double-helical elements and three loops (D, anti-codon, and T loops). Lineage: Eukaryota; Metazoa; Chordata; Mammalia; Artiodactyla; Camelidae. The record is from Rfam by way of RNAcentral. RNAcentral also lists the same sequence under 3 other names.
GGAGGGUGUGCUCAGUGGUAGAGCACAUGCCUAGCAUGCACAAGGUCCUGGGUUCAAUCCCCAGUGCCUCCA